GCUGAAGUGCCUCAGAAAACGGUAUGAUUAUUUCCAGUUUCCUAAAGAUUUCCAUGAAGCGCUCAAACUGCUUUUCUUUUUCCCUUCUCGAGUAUGUCUUUGGAUACGGCAAAGGUUUAACAUACUCCCUUUCUUUCAAUUUUUCAACCUCUCCUUCUUGACUAACACCCUCAUUUCUUUUCAUCAUAUUUUUUUCUCUCUCCCCC
RNAcentral lists this long non-coding RNA (206 nucleotides) under Vigna radiata. RNAcentral's name for it is "long non-coding RNA (VRAD_LNC009843)". The record is from RNAcentral. Lineage: Eukaryota; Viridiplantae; Streptophyta; Magnoliopsida; Fabales; Fabaceae.